AGCAGUACUGCCUAUAGGAAUAAUCAUUAACAGAUAAAAUAUGUCUGGCAUGAUUGUUCUACAGGCUUUAUGCCUGCCCGUUGGCCAAUGUGCCUGAUAUUAUAUCUAGCUUAAAUGCCUAUCCACAGGCUUCAUGCCUAACAUGACCGACGUAUACUGGAUAGACAUAUGACUGUCUAACUAGUAUACUCUCGUAUAUCCACCUUUUAUAAUUUGU
This 217-nucleotide unclassified non-coding RNA is filed under the name Hevea brasiliensis (rubber tree). Lineage: Eukaryota; Viridiplantae; Streptophyta; Magnoliopsida; Malpighiales; Euphorbiaceae. The record is from RNAcentral.